This 497-nucleotide ribosomal RNA is filed under the name uncultured bacterium. Its description in RNAcentral is "partial 16S ribosomal RNA". It matches the Rfam family "Bacterial small subunit ribosomal RNA", at positions 28 to 507 of the family's 1533-position model. The record is from RNAcentral.
GAUGAACGCUGGCGGCGUGCCUAAUACAUGCAAGUCGAGCGAACGGACGAGAAGCUUGCUUCUCUGAUGUUAGCGGCGGACGGGUGAGUAACACGUGGAUAACCUACCUAUAAGACUGGGAUAACUUCGGGAAACCGGAGCUAAUACCGGAUAAUAUUUUGAACCGCAUUGUUCAAAAGUGAAAGACGGUCUUGCUGUCACUUAUAGAUGUAUCCGCGCUGCAUUAGCUAGUUGGUAAGGUAACGGCUUACCAAGGCAACGAUGCAUAGCCGACCUAAGAGGGUGGUCGGCCACACGGGAAGUGAGACACGGUCCAGACUCCUACGGGAGGACGCAGUAGGGAAUCUUACGCAAUGGGGGAGAGCAUGACAGAGCAACGCGGCGUGAGUGAUGAAGGUGUUCGGAUCGGAAAGCUCUGUUAUUAGUGGAGAACAUAUGUGUAAGUAACCGUGCAGAUAUUGACGGUACCGGGUCAGAAAGCCCCGGCUAACUACGUG